This 218-nucleotide non-coding RNA is filed under the name Thermobaculum terrenum. RNAcentral describes it as "T-box sequence". It matches the Rfam family "T-box leader". From Rfam's summary of the family: Uncharged tRNA acts as the effector for transcription antitermination of genes in the T-box leader family. T-boxes are found upstream of many aminoacyl-tRNA synthetase genes and some amino acid biosynthetic genes usually in Gram-positive bacteria. Lineage: Bacteria; Bacillati; Chloroflexota; Chloroflexia; Thermobaculales (SeqCode); Thermobaculaceae (SeqCode). The record is from RNAcentral.
ACAAACGCUGCGAAAGGGAGUAGUAGGGAAGAGGAAGCGCUCAGAGAGCCGAGGGUUGGUGUGACUCGGACGCUGUAAUCUCCCGAACUCGCCCUGGAGCGGUCGGCCUGAAAUCUUAGUAGGGUCGAACGGUUAGCGCCCGUUAGCGCAUACGAGUGGUCGUCACUAAUAAAGUGGCGGCAACAAGGGUGGUACCACGGGAAGCCCCCGUCCCUUGA